RNAcentral lists this ribosomal RNA (1803 nucleotides) under Triticum aestivum (bread wheat). RNAcentral describes it as "partial small subunit ribosomal RNA". Lineage: Eukaryota; Viridiplantae; Streptophyta; Magnoliopsida; Poales; Poaceae. The record is from RNAcentral.
AUGCAGCGGUGUCACGGAAAGGACAAGGCGGCUACCAGCGCGACGCCGCACCACGCAAAGGGCAAGGCGGCCGCGAGCGCGAUGCCGUACCACGCAAAGGAUAAGGCGGCUACUUGCGGCGCGAUGGGGCCGAAGCAUGUCCUCGCAGACGAGAACAUCGUGCAGGAGCACUUAGCACCUCCGGAUCGAAUUCGACAGAGGGGUUUGGAUAGUGCAAAGGAGAGAUCAUCAUCGCUGGUUAUGGGCUUCCGUAGAGAGAUGUCGCAAAAGCGAGGGGAGAAGGGGGAUACAACCUCAAUACAUCAGAAGCAUAAUGCAAAGGAGAAGACUUGCCCCCCUGAUCUGCUCCGCCGGCAGACGCAGGGUAUCCAGCGGCCUGUCAAGAGUCUUGCCGGAGAGAUGUCGCUGAAGCAAAGGGAGAAGGUGGGUACAGGCCUGAUUCCACAGGCGCAUAAUGCAAAGGAGAAGACAUGCCCCCCUGAUCAACUCCGCGGGCAGACGCAGGGUAUCCAGCGGCCUGUCAAGACUGAAGCACGACUUGCUGGAGAGAAGAAGCACAAAACUGAAGCACAUCUUGCCGGAGAGAAAAAGCACACGAAAGGCAAUGCGUCUUUUCCAGCGAAAAGAACCACUACACUACUCAAAGCAAGAACGAGUUCCCACUGUUCCGAUGAAUGUACCAGUCGUCCCAUCGAUACUAACGACCAUGGCAACACUGUUGCCACCCCGGAACAGAGGGAAGAAUCUGCCGCAAUCAAGAUAGAUAAAGAAGUGGAGUACAUAACCCAAAAGUUGAACAAGUUGGGAGUGCGAGAUGAUAUUGGCUUUGAGGAGUACUAUAAAUGCUUGAUGAAUCUGCCUUCCGACCCCUCCGUUGAUACUUCCAUCAGAUUGGAUGAUACAGAUCUUUAUGACAUGGACAUCCGCCACGCGGUGUAUCGCAUCAGAUCCUACAAGUUGUCACAAAAGGAGUCUAAGAAUGAGUUGUGCCAUGAUAAACUGAAAGAUUGCCCUGUGGAGCUUCUUGACAGGGACGAAUUUCCUACAGAUUUCCUCGUGAAGAUGCAAUAUUUUAGGUUCUUGGAGGAAGAAGGUGUAUUAGACUGGUUCUUCCACCCUGAACUCUGCAAGCUUGCUUGCCUGAAUGACUACCAGCGUCUAGUGCCUCGGGAUCAUGGUGCUGUUUUUGAUUGGGAGUAUGCUGAUUGGGAGUUGUACCGCAGUUACUUUCAUAGCUAUGAGAUGCAACAUGAAUACAUCGAGUACUUUGAAACAUUAUUAAGGGAACUUAAGUGGUUGAAAGAUUGUCUACCGGUUAACGAUACUUCUCCUACUGCAAGCAAAAUACGGACCAGAGGAAUUUAUCAAGCAACUAAGAUUGCCACUCGCUUUCCCAAGAUCACAACUCAUUUAGUUCGUAUUGGCUUCAGUGAUUGUCUUACUUACAUGGGCAUUGAGGCUAGGUGGUGUAACGGAUCCGAUGGUCUCCAUUUCGAGAUAUGGAAGCGAGUCACUCAACAAAAGGAGAGUUUCGAAAAUGCUUUGAAGGAAGUCUAUUUACUGAACAAGUGUCCGUCGCGGCAAGAUAGCAUCAAGUAUGCCAUAGAGUAUGACCAUUCCCUUAUGAAACUAGAGUUUCUUCAUUGCACGGCAAGUGUUCCCAAGGAAGUAUCAGAGGAGAAAGCUCAGGAGUUGAUUACAGAGAAAGUUAAAAAGCUGAGGAUAAAAUCCAAAUUCUUUGACGAGUAUAUCAGAAAGAAGAUACGCAUUGCCAAAGCUAUAAGAUUGAUUACCGAGGUUUAA